GAUGAACGCUGGCGGCGUGCUUAACACAUGCAAGUCGAGCGAGAAGUUUUGAAAAGAUUCUUCGGAUGAAAUUUAAAAUGGAAAGCGGCGGACGGGUGAGUAACGCGUAGGCAACCUGCCCCAUACAAAGGGAUAGCAUUUGGAAGCGAAUAUUAAUACCUUAUGAAACUUAACUAGUGCAUGCUAGGUAGGUCAAAGAUUUAUCGGUAUGGGAUGGGCCUGCGUCUGAUUAGCUAGUUGGUGAGGUAACGGCUCACCAAGGCGACGAUCAGUAGCCGACCUGAGAGGGUGAACGGCCACAUUGGAACUGAGACACGGUCCAAACUCCUACGGGAGGCAGCAGUGGGGAAUAUUGCACAAUGGGGGAAACCCUGAUGCAGCAACGCCGCGUGAACGAUGAAGGCCUUUGGGUCGUAAAGUUCUGUUCUAGGUGAUGAAAACUGACAGUAACCUAGGAGAAAGCCCCGGCUAACUCCGUG
Molecule: ribosomal RNA, 479 nt
Filed under: uncultured bacterium
Lineage: Bacteria
Description: partial 16S ribosomal RNA
Rfam family: Bacterial small subunit ribosomal RNA
Source: RNAcentral